CCUACGGGAGGCAGCAGUGAGGAAUAUUGGUCAAUGGGCGAGAGCCUGAACCAGCCAAGUCGCGUGAGGGAGUACUGCCCUAUGGGUUGUAAACCUCUUUUGUCGGGGAGCAAAAGCCGGACGUGUCCGGCUGUGAGAGUACCCGAAGAAAAAGCAUCGGCUAACUCCGUGCCAGCAGCCGCGGUAAUACGGAGGAUGCGAGCGUUAUCCGGAUUUAUUGGGGUUAAAGGGUGCGCAGGCGGAUUUUUAAGUCGGCGGUCAAAUCGUGGGGCUCAACCCCAUCCAGCCGUUGAAACUGGGGAUCUAGAGAGUGCGAGAGGUAUGCGGAAUGCGUGGUGUAGCGGUGAAAUGCAUAGAUAUCACGCAGAACCCCGAUUGCGAAGGCAGCAUACCGGUGCACAACUGACGCUCAGGCACGAAAGCGUGGGUAUCGAACAGGAUUAGAUACCCCAGUAGUC
Molecule: ribosomal RNA, 458 nt
Filed under: uncultured bacterium
Lineage: Bacteria
Description: partial 16S ribosomal RNA
Rfam family: Bacterial small subunit ribosomal RNA
Source: RNAcentral